GCUAAAGGAGAGACCUCCACACUGAACAUGAGCCCCCCCCAUUGAUUCCUCCAAUCUCCAUCCCUCUACUCCUCCUCUGGUGAUAAACUGUGGGCUGGUGUUAUGAAACCACUUGUUCUCCUUCACAACAUGCACCCAUGUGAGAGCUGAACCUCACAUGAAGCCCGUGACCAUGAGAUGACCUCCAGGCCUCCACCCGCUCUCCACGCCGCUAGUAACCACAUCCAAACAUUCCAGUUUAUUAUUCCGUUGCGGACGAGGAGGAUUCGGGUUCAUGUGUGCGUGCAGAAGGAAAAAGUAAUAAAAGGUCACGUUUGGCAGCUAGAAGAGAAGAAUUAAUCAGCGUGGUGAUUAAAAACCUGGCUGUGUGCAGCGGUGCUGACUGGGCUUUCUGUGUCUCUCUUUUCACUGCCGACCCCCCCACAUCCAAAAACAGCAUCAAAGCAAUCAAAAUGGUAAUGUUCGGCAUGAAUGGGGCCCAUCCCCCCUCCUCCUCCUCCUGCACAAAACUCUGCAGACUUUUCCCCUCUCUGGUGUGAGGGGGGGGGGGGGAUACACCCCCUUUUCUCUCUCAAAAUGGAAGCUUCCACUACCAAACAGAAGGAGAAGUCACAGCACACACACGCUUCAGAGGGAGCAGCAGAAGCUGGGUGAACUGGGCGGUGCUGGAGUCCCACUAUGUGCCAAGUUUAACGGCGAUCGGGACUAAUUAAAGCCGCUGGAUGAGGCGGUUAGGUGCCCUUUAAUUUAAAAAAAAACAUAGCCCACUUUAGUUUGCUUAACUUAGUCCACACAGGUGAGAUAACCGCCGAAGUGAAGCGCGUUUCUCGUGGAGUCACACAAAGACACGCGCUGUGAUUCCCGUCACGGCUCAGACCUAAACGGUCACAUUUAGCGAUGUGUUAACGGGGUCUGGGAAGCCGCAGUGCCGCCGCUCACGGAACUCCAACUCCAGAGUGCGUGUUUUGGGAGCAGCGGGGCUUCGGAGCGGCGGGCUUUCAUUCUAACGACGACGGACCGUUUUAAUAAGAGUACGCAGACAUUUUACGAACUAUCGGCGUUGCUGUUUUAACGGGCCUGCGGACCCAGCCGGCAGUCCCCCGCUCUCAAGGCUGGGACCGACCGGCGGGGCGGUGCGAGGCAGCAGCAGCAGCGAGCCACCGGGAGAGGGGGGGGAGCUGUCCGCGGUGCUGAACUCCGCUACCCGGCUUCUCCAUCAGCACCUGCCGCCGUGUGGCACCGCCACCGCGGCAUCAAAAGUUAAGCCCAGUUUAAAGCUAUUAAAAAGACAGCAACGGGAAGAAAAGUGAAAGCAGGCGAAUCGAGUGCACCAUCUGCGGUCACGUGACCCCCCCACCGCCCCCCCCUGCGCGAGGAGAAAAAACACCACCGGACUAAAAGUAUAAAGUAACAAAUAAUCCGCCAUUUAACAGGCCCUAAAAGCACCUCCGGCCCGGUGGAGACGGUCUUAACGUCUUAAACUUCCGCCGUAGCGGCUCCCCGCCACAAGUCCGAGCCGGAGAGUUAAAGGCUAAAGCUAGCUCCUUUAUUAGCUCCUUUUUACUCUCCAGAAACAUGAACUCAAAAUGGACGCGAACAGUUUUUUUAACAUAACUUUGAGAUGCCGAGAGACAGGAAGUCCAAACACACACACACAGACGGACUCACACAGACACACACACACACACACAGCGGGCGUGAACGGCGUUCACUUUCCCAUCUUUUCUCUUUUUGAGUCCCCAUCCACCAUGUUUGUUAUGAGGCCAGAAGACUUACUUGCUUGUCGCUCAGGGCUGAUAUCCGCCGGUCGUGUAGCUGUCUCUUAAGCUCUCCAUCCUGCGGGAAAACACAAGGGGACAAUCACCACCUGCCACACGGACAUCCACCUAAACACACGGCAUCCACAUGCACGCUAAGCCGCCACGGAGCAGCAUUAGGCCGAUAAAGUUUCCCUCGCACAGCCGCCUCGGCGUUAGCUUGAGGAGCUAGCCGUGUAAUACAUGUACUUUAAAUACCUGUGGGUCCUGCUUCAUCUGGGCAACUAGUUCAGUAACUGCGGCCUUAUUACGCUAAAACAAAAGUCCCCUCAAGUUUUGUUAGUGUGAGGAAGGGAGGAACAAAGCGGAGGAGGUGGAGGAGGAGGAGGAGGUGGAGGCGACUCUUUGGCUCCUCAUAAAUAUUCAGGUCGCGUCCGGAUCGCCGCCACACCACCGCAUUAUUAGCCCGAGAAGAAAAGAGGGCUUCUUGUUGCACCGCGAACAACAACAACAAACAAACAAACAAACAAAGCCGUAGAGAUUCAGAGCACAAGUGGCGCGUGCUCGACGUUAUUAAGCGACAUCUUGUUUCUGCGGCUGCUUCUUUACGACCACCGGAGAACAACGACGGCUGGUUACCUGGUGACAUUGGAUCUCUACUUUCAGCGCCUCUUGCAGGCCUCGUACUUCCAUGUUUCCGGCCCGGCCACACAAAAAAAACUCACUUUUCUGACACUUUUUUCCGACGCCACCGACGCGAAGUUUUUUUUCCUUUUUUAAUCAGAAUAUAUAUUUUUUCUUAUUUCCAAAGCGACGAUAACAAUUGGAAGAACGAACUACUCGAGCUGACGGCAAAAAAAGCAAGUUCUCGCUUUUUUUUUUCGCAGGCUCGGGACUCAUCACCCCCACUUUCCGCCCGUCUGCGAAAAGUGCUCCAAACCCGGCGGAAAGAGCUCAGGCCCCGGCGGCUCUUCUCCAGAUUCGCGGCCAAACGUCGAGUGGUCCGACGGGGGAGCGGGGCUGCUUUCCCGUCGGUUAUUUUAAGUUGAAACACGGGGACUAUAUUCUGUCCGAGUCCGCGGCUUGAUUUCACUUUGCCUGGGGAAAAGUUGCGCUUCGGCUGUCAAUGGUAAUUCUGAGAGUUCCCGGAUGGAGCAGCGAGGGCAUGCGCAGUAGGGAGAAGCUACAACUACUUCAAGGAGCAUUUUAUAAAUGCGUGCCGCUAUUGGUCCCAGCCGAGCCAAUCAAGAGCUGCGAUGAUUGAGGGGCAGCGCGGGGAACCAACGGGAGCCCGGCGUCGGGAGGAGGGGGAGGAGGAUGUGAUCGGAAAGUUGAUGAGCGAGCAGAGAUGGCAGCUGGUGAUUGAAUGUGUCGUCAACUCGAACAACUUCUCCUCACUUUUACCGCACAAAUUACUACAACGUGAACAAAAUGGCGGCAAUGU
Molecule: long non-coding RNA, 3201 nt
Organism: Gasterosteus aculeatus aculeatus (three-spined stickleback)
Lineage: Eukaryota; Metazoa; Chordata; Actinopteri; Perciformes; Gasterosteidae
Source: Ensembl